AGACAAGAUCAGAAUAGCUCUCAGUCUGCAUCUCCUCCACUACCAAAUCUACCUCCACCUCAGGCAACACCUGCUCAAGUAGCAACUCCAUCCCCUCCAUCUGAACCAACAACCUCCACACUUUUUUUAGUAUAAACUCCAUCCUCACCCCUACCUACUCACCCUCAAGAACCCACAGCACCCUCAUCAUUUCAAUCUCAAAGAUUGCUUGUUGACCC
Molecule: long non-coding RNA, 218 nt
Filed under: Elaeis guineensis (African oil palm)
Lineage: Eukaryota; Viridiplantae; Streptophyta; Magnoliopsida; Arecales; Arecaceae
Description: long non-coding RNA (EGUI_LNC077378)
Source: RNAcentral